This 271-nucleotide ribosomal RNA is filed under the name uncultured bacterium. RNAcentral's name for it is "partial 16S ribosomal RNA". It matches the Rfam family "Bacterial small subunit ribosomal RNA", at positions 524 to 794 of the family's 1533-position model. The record is from RNAcentral.
UACGAAGGUGUCAAACGUUGUCCGGAAUAACUGGGCGUAAAGGGCGCGUAGGCGGUCGCGUAAGUCAGAUGUGAAAGCUCUGGGCUCAACCCAGGAAUUGCAUUUGAUACUGCGUGACUCGAGUUCGGUAGAGGAGGGCGGAAUUCCAGGUGUAGCAGUGAAAUGCGUAGAUAUCUGGAGGAACACCCGUGGCGAAGGCAGCUCUCUGGGGCGGCCCUGACGCUGAGGCGCGAAAGCGUGGGGAGCGAACGGGAUUAGAUACCCUAGUAGU